UACGUAGGGUGCAAGCGUUAAUCGGAAUUACUGGGCGUAAAGCGUGCGCAGGCGGUUCGGAAAGAAAGAUGUGAAAUCCCAGAGCUUAACUUUGGAACUGCAUUUUUAACUACCGAGCUAGAGUGUGUCAGAGGGAGGUGGAAUUCCGCGUGUAGCAGUGAAAUGCGUAGAUAUGCGGAGGAACACCGAUGGCGAAGGCAGCCUCCUGGGAUAACACUGACGCUCAUGCACGAAAGCGUGGGGGGAGCAAACAGGAUUAGAUACCCUGGUAGUCCACGCCCUAAACGAUGUCAACUAGCUGUUGGGGCCUUCGGGCCUUGGUAGCGCAGCUAACGCGUGAAGUUGACCGCCUGGGGAGUACGGUCGCAAGAUUAAAACUCA
This 381-nucleotide ribosomal RNA is filed under the name uncultured bacterium. Its description in RNAcentral is "bacterial SSU rRNA". It matches the Rfam family "Bacterial small subunit ribosomal RNA", at positions 524 to 903 of the family's 1533-position model. The record is from RNAcentral.